GUGGAUGAGGCAUGCAAGUCGAACGAUAUGGGGGCAACUCCAUAUAGUGGCGCAAGGGUUAGUAAUACAUAGAUAAUCUACCUCCGACUCGGGAAUAACGGCUGGAAACGGCCGCUAAUACCGGAUGAGGUGAUGGUUGGCAUCAACCAUUUAUCAAUGCAGGGGACCGAAAGGCCUUGUGGUUGGAGAAGAGUCUAUGGGAUAUCAGCUAGUUGGUGAGGUAAUGGCUCACCAAGGCUAAGACGUCUAGGCGGAUUGAGAGAUUG
Molecule: ribosomal RNA, 266 nt
Filed under: uncultured Chlamydiales bacterium
Lineage: Bacteria; Pseudomonadati; Chlamydiota; Chlamydiia; Chlamydiales
Description: partial 16S ribosomal RNA
Rfam family: Bacterial small subunit ribosomal RNA
Source: RNAcentral